RNAcentral lists this transfer RNA (68 nucleotides) under Marmota monax (woodchuck). Its description in RNAcentral is "tRNA.Ala". The record is from RNAcentral. Lineage: Eukaryota; Metazoa; Chordata; Mammalia; Rodentia; Sciuridae.
GUUGUAGCUCAGUGGUAGAGUUCUUGCCUAGCAUGUGUGAGACACUGGGUUUGAUUCUCAGCACCACA